UACGUAGGGUGCGAGCGUUGUCCGGAAUUAUUGGGCGUAAAGAGCUUGUAGGUGGUUUGUCGCGUCUGCUGUGAAAAUCCGAGGCUCAACCUCCAGCCUGCAGUGGGUACGGGCAGACUAGAGUGCGGUAGGGGAGAUUGGAAUUCCUGGUGUAGCGGUGGAAUGCGCAGAUAUCAGGAGGAACACCGGUGGCGAAGGCGGUUCUCUGGGAAUGUACUGACGCUGAGGAGCGAAAGUGUGGGGAGCGAACAGG
RNAcentral lists this ribosomal RNA (253 nucleotides) under uncultured bacterium. Its description in RNAcentral is "partial 16S ribosomal RNA". It matches the Rfam family "Bacterial small subunit ribosomal RNA", at positions 524 to 776 of the family's 1533-position model. The record is from RNAcentral.